This 65-nucleotide transfer RNA is filed under the name Okeania sp. SIO2G4. RNAcentral describes it as "tRNA-Met". The record is from RNAcentral. RNAcentral also lists the same sequence under 4 other names. Lineage: Bacteria; Bacillati; Cyanobacteriota; Cyanophyceae; Oscillatoriales; Microcoleaceae.
AGCUUUAGUAAGCAACAGUAAAGCCCCAGGCUCAUAACCUGGUUGAUGCAGGUGCAAAUCCUGCC